RNAcentral lists this ribosomal RNA (351 nucleotides) under uncultured fungus. Its description in RNAcentral is "SSU rRNA". It matches the Rfam family "Eukaryotic small subunit ribosomal RNA", at positions 1326 to 1698 of the family's 1831-position model. The record is from RNAcentral. Lineage: Eukaryota; Fungi.
CGAUAACGAACGAGACCUUAACCUGCUAAAUAGUUAGGCCAACGUUUGUUGGUCGUCAACUUCUUAGAGGGACUAUUGACUAUUAGUCAAUGGAAGUUUGAGGCAAUAACAGGUCUGUGAUGCCCUUAGAUGUUCUGGGCCGCACGCGCGCUACACUGAUCAAGUCAACGAGUUUACAACCUUGGCCGGAAGGUCUGGGUAAUCUUUUGAAACUUGAUCGUGCUGGGGAUAGUCCAUUGCAAUUAUUGGACUUCAACGAGGAGUUCCUAGUAAGCGUGAGUCAUCAGCUCGCGUUGAUUACGUCCCUGCCCUUUGUACACACCGCCCGUCGCUACUACCGAUUGAAUGGCU